RNAcentral lists this ribosomal RNA (534 nucleotides) under uncultured bacterium. RNAcentral's name for it is "bacterial SSU rRNA". It matches the Rfam family "Bacterial small subunit ribosomal RNA", at positions 976 to 1509 of the family's 1533-position model. The record is from RNAcentral.
UGGCCUUGACAUACUAAGAACUUUCCAGAGAUGGAUUGGUGCCUUCGGGAACUUAGAUACAGGUGCUGCAUGGCUGUCGUCAGCUCGUGUCGUGAGAUGUUGGGUUAAGUCCCGCAACGAGCGCAACCCUUUUCCUUAUUUGCCAGCGGGUAAUGCCGGGAACUUUAAGGAUACUGCCAGUGACAAACUGGAGGAAGGCGGGGACGACGUCAAGUCAUCAUGGCCCUUACGGCCAGGGCUACACACGUGCUACAAUGGUCGGUACAAAGGGUUGCUACCUCGCGAGAGGAUGCUAAUCUCAAAAAGCCGAUCGUAGUCCGGAUCGCAGUCUGUAACUCGACUGCGUGAAGUCGGAAUCGCUAGUAAUCGUGGAUCAGAAUGCCGCGGUGAAUACGUUCCCGGGCCUUGUACACACCGCCCGUCACACCAUGGGAGUUUGUUGCACCAGAAGUAGGUAGUCUAACCGCAAGGAGGACGCUUACCACGGUGUGGCCGAUGACUGGGGUGAAGUCGUAACAAGGUAGGCGUAGAUGA